CUGUUCGCCAUUUAAAGUGGUACGCGAGCUGGGUUUAGAACGUCGUGAGACAGUUCGGUCCCUAUCUGCCGUGGGCGCUGGAGAACUGAGGGGGGCUGCUCCUAGUACGAGAGGACCGGAGUGGACGCAUCACUGGUGUUCGGGUUGUCAUGCCAAUGGCACUGCCCGGUAGCUAAAUGCGGAAGAGAUAAGUGCUGAAAGCAUCUAAGCACGAAACUUGCCCCGAGAUGAGUUCUCCCUGACUCCUUGAGAGUCCUGAAGGAACGUUGAAGACGACGACGUUGAUAGGCCGGGUGUGUAAGCGCAGCGAUGCGUUGAGCUAACCGGUACUAAUGAACCGUGAGGCUUAACCUUACAACGCCGAAG
Molecule: ribosomal RNA, 366 nt
Filed under: Escherichia coli
Lineage: Bacteria; Pseudomonadati; Pseudomonadota; Gammaproteobacteria; Enterobacterales; Enterobacteriaceae
Description: bacterial LSU rRNA
Rfam family: Bacterial large subunit ribosomal RNA
Source: RNAcentral